Molecule: ribosomal RNA, 253 nt
Filed under: uncultured bacterium
Lineage: Bacteria
Description: partial 16S ribosomal RNA
Rfam family: Bacterial small subunit ribosomal RNA
Source: RNAcentral
UACGGGGGAUGCAAGUGUUAUCCGGAAUCACUGGGCGUAAAGCGUCUGCAGGCGGUUUCCUAAGUCCACUGUUAAACCUUGAGGCUCAACCUCAAAUCUGCAUUGGAAACUAGGAGACUUGAGUAUAGUAGGGGUAGAGGGAAUUUCCAGUGGAGCGGUGAAAUGCGUAGAUAUUGGAAAGAACACCGAUGGCGAAGGCACUCUACUGGGCUAUUACUGACACUCAGAGACGAAAGCUAGGGGAGCAAAUGGG